UACGAAGGGGGCUAGCGUUGCUCGGAAUCACUGGGCGUAAAGCGCACGUAGGCGGCUUUUUAAGUCAGGGGUGAAAUCCUGGAGCUCAACUCCAGAACUGCCUUUGAUACUGAGAAGCUUGAGUCCGGGAGAGGUGAGUGGAACUGCGAGUGUAGAGGUGAAAUUCGUAGAUAUUAGGAAGAACACCAGUGGCGAAGGCGGCUCACUGGUCCGGUACUGACGCUGAGGUGCGAAGGCGUGGGGAGCAAACAGG
This 253-nucleotide ribosomal RNA is filed under the name uncultured bacterium. RNAcentral describes it as "partial 16S ribosomal RNA". It matches the Rfam family "Bacterial small subunit ribosomal RNA", at positions 524 to 776 of the family's 1533-position model. The record is from RNAcentral.